AGAACGAACGCUGGCGGCAGGCUUAACACAUGCAAGUCGAGCGGGCGUAGCAAUACGUCAGCGGCAGACGGGUGAGUAACGCGUGGGAACGUACCUUUUGGUUCGGAACAACCCAGGGAAACUUGGGCUAAUACCGGAUAAGCCCUUACGGGGAAAGAUUUAUCGCCGAAAGAUCGGCCCGCGUCUGAUUAGCUAGUUGGUGGGGUAAUGGCCCACCAAGGCGACGAUCAGUAGCUGGUCUGAGAGGAUGAUCAGCCACAUUGGGACUGAGACACGGCCCAAACUCCUACGGGAGGCAGCAGUGGGGAAUAUUGGACAAUGGCGCAAGCCUGAUCCAGCCAUGCCGCGUGAGUGAUGAAGGCCCUAGGGUUGUAAAGCUCUUUUGUGCGGGAAGAUAAUGACGGUACCGCAAGAAUAAGGCCCCGGCUAACUUCGCGCCAGCAGCCGC
Molecule: ribosomal RNA, 448 nt
Filed under: uncultured bacterium
Lineage: Bacteria
Description: SSU rRNA
Rfam family: Bacterial small subunit ribosomal RNA
Source: RNAcentral